Microcebus murinus (gray mouse lemur) is the source of this 929-nucleotide non-coding RNA. The record is from RefSeq and is a predicted model, not a curated record. NCBI's taxonomy places the organism in Eukaryota, Metazoa, Chordata, Mammalia, Primates, Cheirogaleidae.
CUUAAAGACGAGGGAGUUGGACUGAGCCAGGUGCUCUUUCUGUAGCUGCGGUGGGUAACUGUGCAUGGGCUCGUGAGCAGCAGGUACUGCAGGCAUGUCGGGCUGAAAUCCUGGCAGCCAAACCAGCUAUAAGAAGAGGCUGCAGAGAAGAUUGGCUUCCAGGGGAGUAAACAGGGAAGUGCCUCCCUCCUGCCACCAUGGCUGCGGUGUUUGUGUCAAGACAUAUCUAGACAUUAUCUGCACUCUGCCUGUCCUCUGCCUAAAGUUGGGAUUCUUCAAUUGAUCGCAUGUUCCUGGGCCCCAGAUUGGCCUUGCUCAUUUGGACGGGGAACGCAGAUGGACGGAGUCGUUGCUUGCAACUUUGCCGCUAAGCUUUGAGGGCGUGACCGCAAGACCAUGCUGGAUGUCUGUGGGGCUGGCUGGGUGGGCAGGAAGGUGCAGGUUCUGACCUCGUUUAAAAAUUAUUUUGUUAAGGCACAGAUUAUAGGCUUGCAGUUAUAACCUGUUAAGACCCUUUUUUUUAUCUCAUUUUGGAUGCACGAGAACUAAUUUCUUUAUAUGCUUUUCUAGAAACACAAAAAACAAGAAGUAUCAUUUCUAAACAAGAACAAAAUCUUUUUACAGGGAAUUUUUGGAAGUUACAUUUUUCUUCCUUUGUCAGAGAUAAAAGGCCAGUCUUUGGGGGAAGGUACGUUUAGAUCUCAGAAAACCAAGACAAUAGUGAGAGUCUAUUAAUACCCAAUGCUUCUUAUGGGAAGGAACGAUUUUCACAUGGUGGUGAUAUUUUAGAGCUUUAAAGGGGACUUUUUUUCCCCAAGUGUACUCCAUAACAAUAUGGUACAGAAUUUGGUCUGAGAAGAGGCCGAAAUGAAUUAAAAUGAGUUUUUGGAAUCCUGCUUAUUGGAAAUGUUGAUGCUACUAAGCACGAC